RNAcentral lists this ribosomal RNA (533 nucleotides) under uncultured bacterium. RNAcentral describes it as "bacterial SSU rRNA". It matches the Rfam family "Bacterial small subunit ribosomal RNA", at positions 104 to 651 of the family's 1533-position model. The record is from RNAcentral.
UGGUGAGUAACGCGUGGGCAACCUGCCUCAUACAGGGGGAUAACACAGGGAAACUUGUGCUAAUACCGCAUAACAUCGUUGGGUGACAUCACCUGAUGAUCAAAGGAGAAAUCCGGUAAGAGAUGGGCCCGCGUCCGAUUAGCUAGUUGGUGAUGUAACGGACCACCAAGGCGACGAUCGGUAGCCGAACUGAGAGGUUGAUCGGCCACAUUGGGACUGAGACACGGCCCAGACUCCUACGGGAGGCAGCAGUGGGGAAUAUUGCACAAUGGAGGAAACUCUGAUGCAGCAACGCCGCGUGAAGGAUGAAGGUUUUCGGAUUGUAAACUUCUUUGAUGAGGGACGAAUAAAUGACGGUACCUCAAAAACAAGCCACGGCUAACUACGUGCCAGCAGCCGCGGUAAUACGUAGGUGGCGAGCGUUGUCCGGAUUUACUGGGUGUAAAGGGCGUGUAGGCGGGGAUGUAAGUCAGAUGUGAAAUUCCAUGGCUCAACCAUGGGGCUGCAUCUGAAACUAUGUCUCUUGAGUGCUG